This 402-nucleotide ribosomal RNA is filed under the name uncultured Sphingopyxis sp. RNAcentral's name for it is "bacterial SSU rRNA". It matches the Rfam family "Bacterial small subunit ribosomal RNA", at positions 355 to 774 of the family's 1533-position model. Lineage: Bacteria; Pseudomonadati; Pseudomonadota; Alphaproteobacteria; Sphingomonadales; Sphingopyxidaceae. The record is from RNAcentral.
UGGGGAAUAUUGGACAAUGGGCGAAAGCCUGAUCCAGCAAUGCCGCGUGAGUGAUGAAGGCCUUAGGGUUGUAAAGCUCUUUUACCCGGGAUGAUAAUGACAGUACCGGGAGAAUAAGCUCCGGCUAACUCCGUGCCAGCAGCCGCGGUAAUACGGAGGGAGCUAGCGUUGUUCGGAAUUACUGGGCGUAAAGCGCGCGUAGGCGGUUUUUUAAGUCAGAGGUGAAAGCCCGGGGCUCAACCCCGGAAUAGCCUUUGAAACUGGAAAACUUGAAUCUUGGAGAGGUCAGUGGAAUUCCGAGUGUAGAGGUGAAAUUCGUAGAUAUUCGGAAGAACACCAGUGGCGAAGGCGACUGACUGGACAAGUAUUGACGCUGAGGUGCGAAAGCGUGGGGAGCAAACA